Long non-coding RNA from Strigops habroptila (Kakapo), 1597 nucleotides. RefSeq lists it as uncharacterized. NCBI's taxonomy places the organism in Eukaryota, Metazoa, Chordata, Aves, Psittaciformes, Psittacidae. The transcript has 2 exons. The record is from RefSeq and is a predicted model, not a curated record.
GGGAGAUGAGCAACAGGCUACAGACAAAAGCAAAGUCUUAAGCCUUUAAGAAAUGAUGGCAAGAAGACAGGGUAAAAGCUAUAAAACACUGACUGGAGAUCGCCUACCGUGGUGCUCAUCCAGGAUUCCCAAAGUAGAGUCGAGUCACUCUUGCUGCCAUGCUGUAACUCCACUCCACAGCACAGCACGAAAUAGCAAAAAACAGUGCAAAUGACCAACAGUUGCAGUCAAGUAGUGGGAAGUGACACUGUCAAGUCAUCAGCAGGACUUCUGUGAGUAGGUGGAAGGCAGUGAAAAGGCAUGUAAAAAUAGUCCUGAUGUGAUAUAAAUUAAGGAGGAGUUUCUGUGGCUCCAAGUCGGGCCAAGAAGUAGUAAAAUAAUCACAGUGUUAAUUCACCCGUUCUCCCCUGCUCAAGUUGCUCAGCUUUUUAUCUUGCAGAUGUAGCCCAGUAAUUUUUAGCAUCCCACAAAAUGACACCUGUUAAAAAUAAAGUUUCAGGGACAUGUCAAGCAAAUACUUGUUGUGUGCCACCUUCCCGGGAAUGCUCCUGGUUUUCCCUCCACACGUGCUGCAGGUCUCACACUCUUCCUGGUCCAAGCAAAGGACUGCCACUGGCACUUUCUGUUAAAAGUCCUCCAAAAUGGUUCUACCUUCCAUAAAGAGCAGGUUGUUCUGAUGGGCAAACAAAAACCAGUAACCCCUUUCAAACUCUGAGCAGAUGAGAGAUGACACCAUUACCAGGCUGAGGGGAAAAACUCACCCUUUGCCUUGGGGAAAGUCCAGGUGUAUUUUACUUUCCCUGGAAACUUUUCCUCUGACUCCAAAAGAAGGGCUGGAUGCCCACGUGCUGUCCUGUGCCACAAUGAACCUGCUCCCGUCUCACCGUGAAGAUCUUGUACAUGCUCCUUUACCUGCACAACAUCACGGCUGAUGUCAUCUUGAAAAAUACAGUUUAUUAAGCCAAUGCUAUGGAUAAACAUAAAACAAAACCUUUCUAUUCUAUUCUCACAGCUCCCUUAUUUAGACAACCGGUCCUCAUAGCGCAGUUUCUGUGGGAAGGUCCUGAUGGAUAGGGGAGCAGAAAAAAAAAAGGACCCUCAUAACUAAAUUGUUCUAAACCAGGCUAACUAUUCAGAACUAAACAAUUCAUAUAACCAUACAGGCAAGUCUCCUCCUAGGGUGACACUUGGCAUGAGAUUUUCCUGCAGUACUAUGGAGGAAACAAUAGAGAUUUGGAAAAACAGUCAUUUCUGCAAUGGGUGUGAAGGUUGCAACACGUGAUUUUACCGUUUUCUGAUUUUUACAACAGUGCAAUUGCAAAUUCCAGCACAUUUUAUAUCUAAUGUUUUGGAUUAUUCAAGUGAAAAGAGAAAGAGCAGAAGAGAGCAUCCUUCUCAGCUAGACCUGAGAUUUCACCUCCAUGGCUGCAGCUCUGAUACUGUCUAGGAAUAUAGAUGACCCCCACUACUCAAACCAGAGCCCUCUGAUACACUAGCGUGGUGUCUGAAAUUGGGGAGGCCCAGUGCAGUGCAUUGAUCCUACUGCUAGGUGAUAUAUUUAGCAUUUGUAUUCAUUAAAAACUGAUGUCAUUCUAAA